RNAcentral lists this long non-coding RNA (1190 nucleotides) under Pan troglodytes (chimpanzee). RNAcentral's name for it is "lincRNA". Lineage: Eukaryota; Metazoa; Chordata; Mammalia; Primates; Hominidae. The record is from RNAcentral.
AACUCAUUUGGGUCCGCUUCCACGUGGUGGAGGAUUUGUGCUUUUGCUCUUCAUAAUAAAUCUUGCUCCAGGUUGCUCUUUGGGUCUGCACUACGUUUAUGAGCUGUAACACUGCAAAGGUCUGCGGCUUCACUCCUGAAGUCAGCGAGACCAAGAACCCACUGGAAGGAACCAAUUCUGGACACAUUGGUACAUACAUUGGCAGGUAGAGGGGCUACCUUGUAGGAGCUAAGGCUGGAGUACUCUGCUAUUAUUAUUAUUAUUAUUUAUUAUUAUUAUUUUGAGCUGGAGUCUCACUAUGUCACCUAGGAUGGAGUACAGUGGUGCAAUCUAGGCUCACUGCAACCUCCGUCUGCCAGGUUCAAGCGAUUCUCCUACCUCAGUCUCCUGAGUAGCUGGGCUUACAGGCGUCUGCCACCACACCUGGGUAAUUUUUCUAUUUUUAGUAGAGGGAAAUGACUUUGUUUGUAUCUCCCUUCACAAAGAGAGAUGUGAAGAGGUGUCUGUCAUCGAAAGUCACACAGUCUGAAACGCUACUGUGUCUUUUAACUCCUUUUCUUUAUAGAUUUCUCUCUGACAGCUCUUAUUUUCUCUCAAUGAUUACUUCAAUAAGUAAUCAUCGUCCAUUGACUAAAUACCAGAUACAAGCUGUGUAGCCUAGAGCAAAUUACUUAACCUCCGUUUCAUCUUUUGUAAAAUGGGGAUGUUAAUAAUAUCUGGGUCCUUGAGUUGGGAAUUAGAUGAGUUAUAUAUAAAGCACUUAGACUAGAGGCUGAAAAACAGUAAACAUGAUGUAAAUGUUUGCUGUUAUGAUGAUCCACAAGAGCACAAGACAGUCUCUACUCCUGCCUGAUUCUCACGAAUGUAAUUAUAACCUGACGAGUGCUACUACGGAAAAUUACACAGAAUGUGUGAAUUUAUAUCAGGGGGUACUAGUGGCGGGGAAAAGGUGGGGAUUAAGGAAACGUUUCCUGAGUGAACUGAGACCCGAAGGCUCAGUGAAUAACCAGGUGAGGGAUGAGUUGGAGUUUGGGCGGGGGGUGUUCUGAGCUGAGGUCACAGAGAGGCAAAGGCCUUGAGGAGGGGAAAUAUGACCAACUUGAGAAGCCCGAAGAAGAACAGCAUUUUAAUAUACAGACUCAAGUAUAAGAUGACAAGAUGCAGAAUAAACGUAGUUUCCAUUUAAAUUG